This 253-nucleotide ribosomal RNA is filed under the name uncultured bacterium. Its description in RNAcentral is "partial 16S ribosomal RNA". It matches the Rfam family "Bacterial small subunit ribosomal RNA", at positions 524 to 776 of the family's 1533-position model. The record is from RNAcentral.
UACAGAGGUCUCGAGCGUUAGGCGGAAUCACUGGGCUUAAAGCGUGUGUAGGUGGAUGCCUAAGUACCUUGUGAAAUCCCACGGCUUAACCGUGGAACUGCUUGGUAUACUGGGUGUCUUGAGUCACUCAGGGGCGAGCGGAACAAAUGGUGGAGCGGUGAAAUGCGUAGAUAUCAUUUGGAACGCCAAUGGUGAAAACAGCUCGCUGGGGGUGCACUGACACUGAGGCACGAAAGCCAGGGGAGCGAACGGG